CCUGAGUUCACUGAAUGAGCUUGGCAUGUGCUGGCUGUGCUCGGAUCAUCUCUCUGAGUACUUACCUGAUCUCAGAUUCAUUCCUCACACCCAAGCAUGAUGCAUGUUCCUGCCCGGUGCACAGUUCUCAUUGGCAGCCAUCCAUUAACGUUUACUAUCAGCGUGGCCAUUUGGGACCUGUAGUUGUCACUGGCUGAAACAUAAACAAGGAAAUGUGGAAAUGGCCUGCUAUAACAUGGUGAAGAAAAGCAGUGUUUGCGCUUGAUCAAUAAUACGGAGCCACCAAACAGUCCUCGUGUACUUUUGUACAUAAUGCCACAGCAUCAAUAGAAACAGAACUGCUCAGGGUUAUUCAUUAAAAAAAUUAUUUGAAUGUCCAUAAUAGUUAUUAUUAUAGCCAACAGCCAACAUCUAGCCUAUAUUGUCUAAGCAUAUUGGAUGCCACAAUAAACUGAACAUCCUUGCCUUCAUAAAGAAAUCUAGCAGGUUUUACAGCUCUUUAAAGCACUGCACAGGACCAGACAACAAGUUUUUAGAAAUGAUGCCAGAGCAUUAGAAGCCAGAAUAAAGAUAAAUGAAGAAUUCAAAAAUAAUAAAAGUGAAACUUCUCCUAAGAAAAUAGAAGAGCUAAUGAAAAUAGGUUCUGAUGUUGAAUUGCUACUCAGAACAUCUGUUAUACAAGGUAUUCACACUGGCCACAAUACACUGAAACUGGUCCCUAGGAAAGACCUUUUUAUAGAAAAUGUGCCAUAUUGUGACACACCAACUCAGAAGCAAUGAGUUUUCUAGGAUAAAAUAAGUCUUUGCACUUUUUAACAUUAAAUUCUAUAACACUGGCAAAGUCCUGGAAAUGUAGACAUCUUUCUCUGAACUGGCAUAUUGAAGAUGAAUGAAUUACAGAAUAACUUCAUAUUUAAAUUUCAUGUUGAAAGGUCAUUACUGAGAACUGAAGAACAUAAUUACAUAUUUCUAAAGGAAAUUAGAUAAGAAAACAUUUCAUUUUCAUUGAAAAUCAAAUGCCAUAAAGCAAAAUAAAUGCUUAGGGAGAUAUAUUCUCUUCUCUCUGACCUUGAUGAAUAUUUGGUCUUGCCAUAGCUAUUUGACAAUGUGGUGUUUUUAUAAGUUGGUCAGUUUUUUUCCCAUAUGAAAUGCAAUUAUUAGAUUUAAAUUAUUAGAUUAAACUGAUAUUUAGUCCUGAAAAAUAUUAAAUUGUUCCAAAAAAAAUCACAGUGUGUGCCAGCUCUCUGCAGAAGUGGCCUUUGUUUUCUAAAGCACUGGGAUUUUUUCUGCAGCUAAUAUGUAAUUGUACAGUUUCUUUUUGGAGAUACAGAGUAUCUCUGUAUUCUUAUAAAAACAUUUUUAUCAGUCUUCUGAAAAUAGUUGAAUAAAAUAUUAAAAUCACCUAGGGUCACUAUGAAAUAAAGAAAUCCUAAUUUAAAGUGGAAAUAGUGACCCUUGAUUAAACUAUUUAAUAUGGCUGUAGUAGAAUUAGCUGUAUUUAGACGAAGUUAGACUUUCUUGUGAAAUGUAAUAGAUGGCUACAUUCUCUUUGUUUUAAUUAAUGAAACUUAAAUGUCCUCUCUUCUUCCACAUGUCCUGUCCUUGACAAGAUGGGCAGUAUCACAAAGGGCCAGGCAUUCUAUCAUCUAACACUAGGAACUGUAAAAUCCUGUUUAAUAUUUUUCUUGUUUCUCUUUUAUCUGUAUAUCUUUGCCAUUCUGUUUUCUCAGUUAAUAGUAUGUUUUCUCCCAUUCACUGAUAAAUUAUCUCAUUUGAUGAUGAUA
This is an RNA transcript of Sapajus apella (tufted capuchin), 1784 nucleotides long. It is a transcript of the gene named LYR motif containing 7, with no coding region annotated. The record is from RefSeq and is a predicted model, not a curated record. The transcript has 5 exons. Lineage: Eukaryota; Metazoa; Chordata; Mammalia; Primates; Cebidae.